UUUCGAUGCUCUUCCUCUAAAAUUCUCCCUUUUAAUUUUGCUCACAGACCGUUUCUUCGUAUUACAAAGGCGGGUUCGAAUCGAAAAUGAAUGUUCGGGAAGCUAGUCUUAUUUUAGGCAUAAGGUGGAUCUCCAUACCUGGCAACCAAAAUCAACGAAGCCAAGGACCUGCUGGAAUCAAGCAGGAAAAAUUAAAGAGAUUUUCACCGCACCUCAGAAACCUUUUAGAGGCCGCACAAGGACCUCUUACUUUCCCAUUUGUAGGGGAACCACACAGCACAGAAACCAAACUUCGGGCUUGUUAAUAAAGUUUCAGCAGCUUUGAAGAUGCUGUUUCAGGGAGUUCAUAAUCAAAAUCCGGGCUUCCACGCUUCAAAUCUCAUUUAUGGCCUCGGGGGGGAUAUGAUCCUGGAAGCGUAAACCCAUGAUGCACAAAAGUUAGAACUGAUAUUAUUUUUUAAUACGUCAUAUUCAGGUUUUGAGUUUUUCGUCAGCAAAAAGCAAUGUCUUUUGUUUCCUUUGAAAAAUCAGAAGCGUUGUAGAUUAUAAUGAUUCAUUAUCAUCUUUUAAUGACCUCAUAAUCGCUUGCAGGGUGGAAUCUGGACAACUGAAUGGAGCUGAGUGUUUUCAUGGCCGACUGCCCUUCCUGACACCUAUGAGGAGUUAUAUUCAGCAGAUAAAUAUUCUCAUCGUGUCCAGAGAGAGAAAUAUCUGCCUAUACUUAGGAUCGAACUCACAGCCUCCAGAUUAUAAUGAUUAUGCUGUCCAAUUCGAAUUCCCGGUCCACUGUGAAAAUUAUGAAACCGAUGCUUUAGACAUGUGAAUUUCUCUCAGAGAAGUGAGCAACUCCUCUUUUACCUAAGUUGCCUGUCUUAUUUUUAGUUCAAAACUUUUUAAAGAUAUUUAUAUUCGUGAGAUGUUUUUGACUACAUCCAUAUGCUCCCGAGUGAUUUUUUUUCUCUCCUGGUGGCAUGUUUUUGAUCUCGGUCCCGAGGUCUUAACUUGGAUAAAAGGUGUCCUCCCUUCAGCGAUGGGUACAGAUUUGACAGGUUCAGUGAAAAGGUUUGAUUGACUUUCACUAAUGAGGCAGGUGUAACCGUGGGGAGGAAAAAAAAAACCCAAAAGGCUUUCCUCUGGUUUGGCAAAUCUCCAUGUGAUCUGCCUUCUUCCCCACCUCCAGCAAAAUUGCUCUAGUAAGCCAUGAAAAUAUUUAUGUUUGCUUGAUUUUGCGAGAUGACAUGGGCUGCAAAUUCCCAGUUGAAUCCUUGCUCAUGUUGAGGGAAACGGUGUGUCAAAAGCUGAGGUAAAAACGGAAACCUGAGGUAAAAAUGGAAACCACCAUAUAUAAAAAUUGUUGCCGGUUCCAACAUUCUUCCUUGUGAUUUAAAUGACCUUCAUAUAUACAUGUGUGUGUGUGUGUGUGUGUAUUUGCCUCUUUGUUUCCAGCUGAAUUUAUUACGCCUCUUUUGUGCGAGGUAUAUUUCAUUCUUCCACUUCAAGGUUGUGGAAGGACCUUGUAUUUUUCAGCCCUGCUUAGUUUAUAAAUCAGGUCCCCAUUUAAAUUAGGAUAAGCAUUAAAGGAUCUCCAGUUACUUUCCAAAGGUUGAUUUAAUUAGUUUUAACCUCUCACCACAUGACUUGUGAGAAGGAGUCAAGUCUAAAAGCAAAAGGUGCUUUUUUGCACGAGGUUUUAAAAAUAAGAAAACGCCCAAAGCAAAGCAAGGAAUGGUGGCAUUAGAGCGUUCACUGUCAUUUUACGACAGAACGAUACCUGCUUUACUAAAAGUAUAUUCGGUCUUUCCACUACAACUGAUGACCGAGGUUGUUUGCUAACAGUCAAGGAUGGGGGGGAGUGGGGGGGAAAACAAAAGGAAAAUUAAAUGAGUGCAAAAUUUCUACUGAAAUAAAAAUAAGUCAGCUGAAACCGAACA
This is a long non-coding RNA of Notechis scutatus (mainland tiger snake), 1931 nucleotides long. Lineage: Eukaryota; Metazoa; Chordata; Lepidosauria; Squamata; Elapidae. The record is from Ensembl.